This 62-nucleotide transfer RNA is filed under the name Myrmecophilus manni (Mann's ant cricket). Its description in RNAcentral is "tRNA-Thr". The record is from RNAcentral. Lineage: Eukaryota; Metazoa; Arthropoda; Insecta; Orthoptera; Myrmecophilidae.
UUUUAAUAGUUUAAUAAAAACCUUGGUCUUGUAAAUCAAUAUUGACCUUAGUCUUAAAACUU